This 500-nucleotide ribosomal RNA is filed under the name uncultured bacterium. RNAcentral's name for it is "partial 16S ribosomal RNA". It matches the Rfam family "Bacterial small subunit ribosomal RNA", at positions 30 to 523 of the family's 1533-position model. The record is from RNAcentral.
AUUGAACGCUGGCGGCAUGCUUUACACAUGCAAGUCGAACGGUAACAGGGUGCUUGCACCGCUGACGAGUGGCGAACGGGUGAGUAAUGCGUCGGAACGUGCCGAGUAGUGGGGGAUAACGCAGCGAAAGUUGUGCUAAUACCGCAUACGUCGUGAGGUAGAGAGUGAGGGACCUUCGGGCCUCACGCUAUUCGAGCGGCCGACAUCUGAUUAGCUAGUAGGUGAGGUAAAGGCUCACCUAGGCGACGAUCAGUAGCGGGUCUGAGAGGAUGAUCCGCCACACUGGGACUGAGACACGGCCCAGACUCCUACGGGAGGCAGCAGUGGGGAAUUUUGGACAAUGGGCGAAAGCCUGAUCCAGCCAUGCCGCGUGUCUGAAGAAGGCCUUCGGGUUGUAAAGGACUUUUGUCAGGGAGGAAAUCCCUAGUGCUAAUAACACUGGGGGAUGACAGUACCUGAAGAAUAAGCACCGGCUAACUACGUGCCAGCCGCCGCUGUAA